GAUGAACGCUGGCGGCGUGCCUAAUACAUGCCAGUCGAGCGAACGGACGAGAAGCUUGCUUUUCUGAUGUUAGCGGCGGACGGGUGAGUAACACGUGGAUAACCUACCUAUAAGACUGGGAUAACUUCGGGAAACCGGAGCUAAUACCGGAUAAUAUUUUGAACCGCAUGGUUCAAAAGUGAAAGACGGUCUUGCUGUCACUUAUAGAUGGAUCCGCGCUGCAUUAGCUAGUUGGUAAGGUAACGGCUUACCAAGGCAACGAUGCAUAGCCGACCUGAGAGGGUGAUCGGCCACACUGGGACUGAGACACGGUCCAGACUCCUACGGGAGGCAGCAGUAGGGAAUCUUCCGCAAUGGGCGAAAGCCUGACGGAGCAACGCCGCGUGAGUGAUGAAGGUCUUCGGAUCGUAAAACUCUGUUAUUAGGGAAGAACAUAUGUGUAAGUAACUGUGCACAUCUUGACGGUACCUAAUCAGAAAGCCACGGCUAACUACGUG
This 497-nucleotide ribosomal RNA is filed under the name uncultured bacterium. RNAcentral's name for it is "partial 16S ribosomal RNA". It matches the Rfam family "Bacterial small subunit ribosomal RNA", at positions 28 to 507 of the family's 1533-position model. The record is from RNAcentral.